RNAcentral lists this ribosomal RNA (208 nucleotides) under uncultured bacterium. Its description in RNAcentral is "partial 16S ribosomal RNA". It matches the Rfam family "Bacterial small subunit ribosomal RNA", at positions 1282 to 1500 of the family's 1533-position model. The record is from RNAcentral.
CCGGUCCCAGUUCGGAUUGUAGGCUGCAACUCGCCUACAUGAAGUCGGAGUUGCUAGUAAUCGCGGAUCAGAAUGCCGCGGUGAAUGCGUUCCCGGGUCUUGUACACACCGCCCGUCACACCAUGGAAGUUGGGGCGCCCGAAGUUGCCUAAGAAAUAAGGUACCUAAGGCGAAACCAAUGACUGGGGUGAAGUCGUAACAAGGUACC